Molecule: ribosomal RNA, 552 nt
Filed under: uncultured Glomeromycotina
Lineage: Eukaryota; Fungi; Glomeromycota
Description: SSU rRNA
Rfam family: Eukaryotic small subunit ribosomal RNA
Source: RNAcentral
UUGGAGGGCAAGUCUGGUGCCAGCAGCCGCGGUAAUUCCAGCUCCAAUAGCGUAUAUUAAAGUUGUUGCAGUUAAAAAGCUCGUAGUUGAAUUUCGGGAUCAAUACGUCGGUCGUGCUUUUUUGGUACGCACUGGCGUCAUUGGUUUCUCCUUUCUGACGAACCAUGAUGUCAUUAAUUUGGUGUUAUGGGGAGUUAGGACUGUUACUUUGAAAAAAUUAGAGUGUUUAAAGCAGGCAUUAGCCUUGAAUACAUUAGCAUGGAGUAAUGAAAUAGGACGUUCGAUCCUAUUUUGUUGGUUUCUAGGAUCAACGUAAUGAUUAAUAGGGAUAGUUGGGGGCAUUAGUAUUCAAUUGUCAGAGGUGAAAUUCUUGGAUUUAUUGAAGACUAACUACUGCGAAAGCAUUUGCCAAGGAUGUUUUCAUUAAUCAAGAACGAAAGUUAGGGGAUCGAAGACGAUCAGAUACCGUCGUAGUCUUAACCAUAAACUAUGCCGACUAGGGAUCGGAUGAUGUUAAUUUUUUAAUGACUCAUUCGGCGCCUUACGGGAAAC